CGUAGGGGGCAAGCGUUGUCCGGAAUCAUUGGGUGUAAAGGGCAAGUAGGCGGCCAGAUAAGUGAGGGGUGAAAUCUUCCGACUCAAUCGGGAAACUGCCUUUCAAACUAUCUGGCUUGAGAUUGGAAGAGGGAAUCGGAAUUAGCGGUGUAAGGGUGAAAUCUGUAGAUAUCGCUAAGAACACCGGCGGCGAAGGCGGGUUCCUGGUCCAACUCUGACGCUGAACUGCGAAAGCUAGGGGAGCGAACAGAAUUAGAUACUCUGGUAGUCCUAGCCGUAAACGAUGAGUACUAGGUGUUGGGACGUUAGUCUCAGUGCCGCAGCUAACGCAUUAAGUACUCCACCUGGGGACUACGGCCGCAAGGCUA
Molecule: ribosomal RNA, 368 nt
Filed under: uncultured organism
Description: bacterial SSU rRNA
Rfam family: Bacterial small subunit ribosomal RNA
Source: RNAcentral